This 253-nucleotide ribosomal RNA is filed under the name uncultured bacterium. RNAcentral describes it as "partial 16S ribosomal RNA". It matches the Rfam family "Bacterial small subunit ribosomal RNA", at positions 524 to 776 of the family's 1533-position model. The record is from RNAcentral.
UACGUAGGGUGCAAGCGUUGUCCGGAAUCAUUGGGCGUAAAGCGCACGUAGGCGGCGCGUUAAGUCGGGUGUGAAAGCCCUGGGCUCAACCCAGGAAGUGCAUUCGAAACUGGCGCGCUUGAAUAUGGAAGAGGGUCGCGGAAUUCCCGGUGUAGAGGUGAAAUUCGUAGAUAUCGGGAGGAACACCAGUGGCGAAGGCGGCGACCUGGGCCAAUAUUGACGCUGAGGUGCGAAAGCGUGGGGAGCAAACAGG